CGGAGGGGUGGCAGAGCGGUAAUGCGCUGAGCUGAUACCUCAACCAUUCCCGGCUCGCGGGUUAGAUUCCCGCUCCCUCAG
This 81-nucleotide transfer RNA is filed under the name Spirochaetaceae bacterium. RNAcentral's name for it is "tRNA-Ile". It matches the Rfam family "tRNA". From Rfam's summary of the family: Transfer RNA (tRNA) molecules are approximately 80 nucleotides in length. Their secondary structure includes four short double-helical elements and three loops (D, anti-codon, and T loops). Further hydrogen bonds mediate the characteristic L-shaped molecular structure. tRNAs have two regions of fundamental functional importance: the anti-codon, which is responsible for specific mRNA codon recognition, and the 3' end, to which the tRNAs corresponding amino acid is attached (by aminoacyl-tRNA synthetases). tRNAs cope with the degeneracy of the genetic code in two manners: having more than one tRNA (with a specific anti-codon) for a particular amino acid; and 'wobble' base-pairing, i.e. permitting non-standard base-pairing at the 3rd anti-codon position. The record is from RNAcentral. Lineage: Bacteria; Pseudomonadati; Spirochaetota; Spirochaetia; Spirochaetales; Spirochaetaceae.